CUUUACUAUAGCGUGUCAUUGAAAUACUGUGAGUACUGUUUAGUAUAGGUGGGAGACUUUGAAACUCUGGCGCUAGCCGGAGUGGAGUCGAAAUGUGAAAUACCACCCUGUAAUUAUAGUGUUUCUAACCAAAGCGUAACCUACUUUGGGACAGUGGCUCGUGGGUAGUUUAACUGGGGCGGUUGCCUCCUAAAUGGUAACGGAGGCGUCUAUUAAGGUAUGCUAAGCGCGGAUGGAAAUCGCGCUGAUAGUGCAAACGCAUAAGCAUGCUUGACUGCAAGGCUGGCGAGCCGCGCAGGUACGAAAGUAGAAGUUAGUGAUCCGAUGCGUUCGAGUGGAAGACGCAAAGCCCAACGGAUAAAAGUUA
This 367-nucleotide ribosomal RNA is filed under the name uncultured organism. RNAcentral's name for it is "bacterial LSU rRNA". It matches the Rfam family "Bacterial large subunit ribosomal RNA", at positions 2099 to 2465 of the family's 2925-position model. The record is from RNAcentral.